RNAcentral lists this ribosomal RNA (590 nucleotides) under uncultured bacterium. Its description in RNAcentral is "bacterial SSU rRNA". It matches the Rfam family "Bacterial small subunit ribosomal RNA", at positions 62 to 671 of the family's 1533-position model. The record is from RNAcentral.
UCGAACGAUGAAACUUAGUUUACUAAGUUGGAUUAGUGGCGCACGGGUGAGUAAUAUAUAGGUAACGUGCCUCUUAGUCUGGGAUAGCCAUUGGAAACGAUGAUUAAUACUAGAUACUCCUUCUAACUCUAAUGUUAGUCGGGAAAGUUUUUCGCUAAGAGAUCGGCCUAUUUCCCAUCAGGUAGUUGGUAGUGUAAGAGACUACCAAGCCUAUGACGGGUAGCGGGUUUGAGAGGAUGAUCCGCCACACUGGUACUGAGACACGGACCAGACUCCUACGGGAGGCAGCAGUGAGGAAUAUUGCACAAUGGAGGAAACUCUGAUGCAGCAACGCCGCGUGGAGGAUGACGCAUUUCGGUGUGUAAACUCCUUUUAUGAGUCAAGAAAAUGACGGUAGCUCAUGAAUAAGCACCGGCUAACUCCGUGCCAGCAGCCGCGGUAAUACGGAGGGUGCAAGCGUUAUUCGGAAUCACUGGGCGUAAAGGACGCGUAGGCGGGAUGCCAAGUCUGAUGUGAAAUCCUAUGGCUUAACCAUAGAACUGCAUUGGAAACUGGUAACCUAGAGUAUGGGAGGGGGAGAUGGAAUUAGU